Molecule: ribosomal RNA, 464 nt
Filed under: uncultured bacterium
Lineage: Bacteria
Description: partial 16S ribosomal RNA
Rfam family: Bacterial small subunit ribosomal RNA
Source: RNAcentral
GACGAACGCUGGCGGCGUGCUUAACACAUGCAAGUCGAACGGAAAGGCCCCUUUGGGGGUACUCGAGUGGCGAACGGGUGAGUAACACGUGAGUAACCUGCCCUUGACUUCGGGAUAACUUCAGGAAACUGGGGCUAAUACCGGAUAGGAAUCCUUGCUGCAUGGUGGGGGUUGGAAAGCUUCGGCGGUUUUGGAUGGACUCGCGGCUUAUCAGCUUGUUGGUGGGGUAGUGGCUUACCAAGGCUUUGACGGGUAGCCGGCCUGAGAGGGCGACCGGCCACAUUGGGACUGGGAUAGGGCCCAGACUCCUAGGGGAGGCAGCAGGGGGGAAUUUUGCACAAUGGGGGGAAGCCUGAUGCAGCAACGCCGGGGGCGGGAUGACGGCCUUCGGGUUGUAAACCGCUUUCAGCAGGGGCGAAGCUUGGGGGGGGGGAACCUGCAAAAGAAGCACCGGCUAACUACGG